UGGCGAACGGGUGAGUAAUACAUCGGAACGUGCCCAGUAGUGGGGGAUAGCUCGGCGAAAGCCGGAUUAAUACCGCAUACGACCUACGGGUGAAAGCGGGGGAUCGCAAGACCUCGCGCUAUUGGAGCGGCCGAUGGCAGAUUAGCUUGUUGGUGAGGUAAAAGCUCACCAAGGCGACGAUCUGUAGCUGGUCUGAGAGGACGACCAGCCACACUGGGACUGAGACACGGCCCAGACUCCUACGGGAGGCAGCAGUGGGGAAUUUUGGACAAUGGGCGCAAGCCUGAUCCAGCAAUGCCGCGUGUGUGAUGAAGGCCUUCGGGUUGUAAAGCACUUUUAGUGGGAACGAAACGGUCCGGGCUAAUACCCUGGACUACUGACGGUACCCGCAGAAUAAGCACCGGCUAACUACGUGCCAGCAGCCGCGGUAAUACGUAGGGUGCAAGCGUUAAUCGGAAUUACUGGGCGUAAAGCGUGCGCAGGCGGUUUUGUAAGACCGAUGUGAAAUCCCCGGGCUUAACCUGGGAACUGCAUUGGUGA
Molecule: ribosomal RNA, 540 nt
Filed under: uncultured Burkholderiales bacterium
Lineage: Bacteria; Pseudomonadati; Pseudomonadota; Betaproteobacteria; Burkholderiales
Description: bacterial SSU rRNA
Rfam family: Bacterial small subunit ribosomal RNA
Source: RNAcentral